GAAAUGGUGGUUCAGUGGUAGAAUUCCUACUUUCCAUGUGAGGGACCUGGGUUUGACUCCUAGCCAAUGCG
RNAcentral lists this transfer RNA (71 nucleotides) under Loxodonta africana (African savanna elephant). It matches the Rfam family "tRNA". Rfam says of the family: Transfer RNA (tRNA) molecules are approximately 80 nucleotides in length. Their secondary structure includes four short double-helical elements and three loops (D, anti-codon, and T loops). Lineage: Eukaryota; Metazoa; Chordata; Mammalia; Proboscidea; Elephantidae. The record is from Rfam by way of RNAcentral.